Molecule: long non-coding RNA, 309 nt
Filed under: Coffea arabica (coffee)
Lineage: Eukaryota; Viridiplantae; Streptophyta; Magnoliopsida; Gentianales; Rubiaceae
Description: long non-coding RNA (CARA_LNC001119)
Source: RNAcentral
CACAAGCUUGGAGAAAUAGGAUGGCUGGUGUGAAAAGAAGAAAACAAACAGUGAGUUUAGGAGCUGUUGGAGUGAUAAAUUAUUUUGAACUAAUUCUAAGGGCUAUUGGGAAAUGACUGUUGAAAAUUAUUUUUGCAGGCUCAUAGGCUUCUGGAUGAGCUAGAUGGUGCCGCUCAAGAUCCACUUGAAACCUAGAAGUAGAGGCUGUUGGAACACUAGCAAAGCAUAUGUGCAAGCCUGUUUUGCUGUGUUUUUGAGAAAUGCAGAUUAGCAUAUUUUUUGGUUGAAACAAUAGCAGUUCAAGCCUGU